Long non-coding RNA from Grammomys surdaster, 890 nucleotides. RefSeq lists it as uncharacterized. The transcript has 2 exons. The record is from RefSeq and is a predicted model, not a curated record. Lineage: Eukaryota; Metazoa; Chordata; Mammalia; Rodentia; Muridae.
CGCGGCGCCAUCGCCCCCAUCUCGGAUCCGGGAAGUCUGAGUCCCGCGGGCUGCGAGGACUUUAUAACCAGUGCCCGCGGCGACGCUGAUUGGUUCCCUGGGAUCGCGUCACCCAAUGGGAGUGAGACCUGUCAGCGCGUCAUCAGUGUCCGGGCAGAAGGACCUGACCCAGAGCGCUGUUUGUCAUGGUGUCUCCGAGUUCUGACCCAGAAGCUGUCUGGACACCAGGAGAGACCUGCAGGUCAGACUCUCUGUGUCUUCUCCUCCACCCUUCCUCUUCCUUCUUCUCUUCAUUAGUCAGACCCUGGACUCUUCUAGAAGAAAAGCCACUUCCUGGAAUACAAUAGCGACACAAAUGGUUGAGAAUGGAGUGGAGAGAUGCUUCUCCUUCAACAGAGGGUCCUGCAAGCCCCACACGGACCCCACAGAGACAAGGCUCUGUGUUCACCUGCAGUGGGAGACUCACACUGCCAAGCCUGACAGUAAAAAGGAGACUUUGCCUCUUCCCUCAGGAUCUGCCUUCUCAACCUCGGGCUGAGAGUCAGACUCCUCAAGUUUCUCCCUAGAUGAAGCAUCUGUAGCCCCAGAAGGGCAUGUGUUUUAUUUACAUGGUAAAUAGGGUAGUGGUGGCACACACCUUUAAUCCCAGAAAUUGGGAGGCAGAGGCAGGUGGAUUUCUGAGUUUGAGCCUAGCCUGGUCUACAGAGUGAGUUCCAGGACAGCCAGGGCUCCACAGAGAAACCCUGUCUCGUUUAAAAAAAGAAGAUCUUCAUUCUCAGUCCUGAGAUUGUUCAUGUGGACCUGGGUCAUUUUCUCUGCACUUAGACCCCCUUGCCCACUGGGAAGAGAGUUUGGUAUCAAAGGGAACAUAAAUUUUAUGAAUCACCCCA